Caretta caretta (loggerhead turtle) is the source of this 343-nucleotide non-coding RNA. Lineage: Eukaryota; Metazoa; Chordata; Testudines; Cheloniidae. The record is from RefSeq and is a predicted model, not a curated record.
AAGCGGACCCCGCGGGAGGCGGGGCGGAGCUCCUCUCCGCCCAGGGCGGGUUACAUAUGGGCUCUGUGGAGUCGGCCUUGUGUGAUUCUUUGGUCAAAUUCAGACCUGAUAUGACGGGGCACAACUUAGCUGAAUUUAAUAAUCUGUGAAUCAUAUAUCAAAGGGAGAGGUGGCAUGGAGAAGACCAUUAUAGUAUCAAAGGACCUCAGCAUUUCUUUGGCCUGCACUCUCUAUUCUGGGUUCUCAUUGUUUCAGAUCAUAAACAGUCCUGGCUCCCAUUCCCAGCUCUGCAAAUUCACCUCACUGCUGACCUCCUUCAUAUUCCAGUCUUCUUCUCCCUGAG